GGGGGUGCACCGGAUUCGAUUGCCGGUGAGCGAAGGAAUAAGCAUACCGCAGAUGGAAAGACUGCGUAAAAACGAUCCGACUAAAUAUAAAUGCAGAUAGAAAUGCAAACUACGCUUUAGCAGCGUAACUUCGUUUUUAAGCGAAACGUCGCGCCCGAUUUAUCCGUCGGUCGGGGUCGUGGCGUCAACAAGACGGAAAAAUCUUGAAAGAAUCGGAAAGCGUUUUUUUGAGAUCGUGCAGCUUUCUGCGGUUUGCAAAGCGUGUUUACCCGCGUUGCAAACGUAAGAAAAGUAGAUAAAAUAAGUAUGUAGAAAGUUUCUUGGCAGCCGCGUAAGACGUGAGUUCAACUCUCACCACCUCCACCA
Molecule: transfer-messenger RNA, 366 nt
Filed under: Christensenellaceae
Lineage: Bacteria; Bacillati; Bacillota; Clostridia; Christensenellales
Also listed under: 1 other name
Description: Scatosoma sp015055545 Standard tmRNA
Rfam family: transfer-messenger RNA
About the family: Bacterial tmRNA, also known as 10Sa RNA or SsrA, is named for its dual tRNA and mRNA-like properties. Its role is to liberate the mRNA from a stalled ribosome.
Source: RNAcentral